GUCCACGCCGUAAACGGUGGAUGCUGGAUGUGGGGCCCGUUCCACGGGUUCCGUGUCGGAGCUAACGCGUUAAGCAUCCCGCCUGGGGAGUACGGCCGCAAGGCUAAAAACUCAAAGAAAUUGACGGGGGCCCGCACAAGCGGCGGAGCAUGCGGAUUAAUUCGAUGCAACGCGAAGAACCUUACCUGGGCUUGACAUGUUCCCCAGGUCGUAGAGAUACGGCUUCCCUUGGGGCGGUUCACAGGUGGUGCAUGGUCGUCGU
Molecule: ribosomal RNA, 262 nt
Filed under: uncultured bacterium
Lineage: Bacteria
Description: partial 16S ribosomal RNA
Rfam family: Bacterial small subunit ribosomal RNA
Source: RNAcentral